This 429-nucleotide ribosomal RNA is filed under the name Bacteroidota bacterium. RNAcentral's name for it is "Bacteroidetes bacterium partial 16S ribosomal RNA". It matches the Rfam family "Bacterial small subunit ribosomal RNA", at positions 355 to 776 of the family's 1533-position model. Lineage: Bacteria; Pseudomonadati; Bacteroidota. The record is from RNAcentral.
UAGGGAAUCUUCGGCAAUGGGGGGAACCCUGACAGAGCAACGCCGCGUGAGUGAAGAAGGUUUUCGGAUCGUAAAGCUCUGUUGUUAAGGAAGAACGAGUGUGAGAAUGGAAAGUUCAUACUGUGACGGUACUUAACCAGAAAGGGACGGCUAACUACGUGCCAGCAGCCGCGGUAAUACGUAGGUCCCGAGCGUUGUCCGGAUUUAUUGGGCGUAAAGCGAGCGCAGGCGGUUAGAUAAGUCUGAAGUUAAAGGCAGUGGCUCAACCAUUGUAGGCUUUGGAAACUGUUUAACUUGAGUGCAGAAGGGGAGAGUGGAAUUCCAUGUGUAGCGGUGAAAUGCGUAGAUAUAGGGGGGAACACCGGUGGCGAAAGCGGCUCUCUGGUCUGUAACUGACGCUGAGGCUCGAAAGCGUGGGGAGCGAACAGG